GCCAUGCAUGUCUAAGUAUAAGCAACUAUACUGUGAAACUGCGAAUGGCUCAUUAAAUCAGUUAUAAUUUAUUUGAUAGUACCUUUACUUGGAUAACUGUGGUAAUUCUAGAGCUAAUACAUGCUAAAAACCUCGACUUCGGGAGGGGUGUAUUUAUUAGAUUAAAAACCAAUGCCCUUCGGGGCUCUUUGGUGAUUCAUAAUAACUAAACGAAUCGCAUGGCCUUGCGCCGGCGAUGGUUCAUUCAAAUUUCUGCCCUAUCAACUUUCGAUUGUAGAGUAGUGGUCUACAAUGGUUUCAACGGGUAACGGGGAAUUAGGGUUCUAUUCCGGAGAGGGAGCCUGAGAAACGGCUACCACAUCCAAGGAAGGCAGCAGGCGCGCAAAUUACCCAAUCCCGACACGGGGAGGUAGUGACAAUAAAUACUGAUACAGGGUUCUUUUGGAUCUUGUAAUUGGAAUGAGUACAAUGUAAAUACCUUAACGAGGAACAAUUGGAGGGCAAGUCUGGUGCCAGCAGCCGCGGUAAUUCCAGCUCCAAUAGCGUAUAUUAAAGUUGUUGCAGUUAAAAAGCUCGUAGUUGAACCUUGGAUCUGGCUGAUCUGUCCUCCUAAUCGAGCGCACGGAUUCGGCUGGAUCUUUCCUUCUGGGGAACCCUAUGCCCUUUACUGGGCGUAGUGGGGAACCAG
This 688-nucleotide ribosomal RNA is filed under the name Chaetothyriales sp. A922. Its description in RNAcentral is "SSU rRNA". It matches the Rfam family "Eukaryotic small subunit ribosomal RNA", at positions 48 to 745 of the family's 1831-position model. The record is from RNAcentral. RNAcentral also lists the same sequence under 1 other name. Lineage: Eukaryota; Fungi; Ascomycota; Eurotiomycetes; Chaetothyriales.